Molecule: ribosomal RNA, 405 nt
Filed under: uncultured bacterium
Lineage: Bacteria
Description: bacterial SSU rRNA
Rfam family: Bacterial small subunit ribosomal RNA
Source: RNAcentral
GACGAACGCUGGCGGCGUGCCUAAUACAUGCAAGUCGAGCGAAUCAUUCCUUCGGGGAUGGUUAGCGGCGGACGGGUGAGUAACACGUAGGCAACCUGCCUGUAAGACUGGGAUAACUAGCGGAAACGUUAGCUAAUACCGGAUACACGGUUGGAUCGCAUGAUCCGAUUGGGAAAGAGGGUGUAAGCUCUCACUUGCAGAUGGGCCUGCGGCGCAUUAGCUUGUUGGUGGGGUAAUGGCUCACCAAGGCGACGAUGCGUAGCCGACCUGAGAGGGUGAUCGGCCACACUGGGACUGAGACACGGCCCAGACUCCUACGGGAGCAGCAGUAGGAAUCUUCCGCAAUGGACGCAAGUCUGACGGAGCAACGCCGCGUGAGUGAUGAAGGUUCUCGGAUCGUAAAGC